AGACUUAAUAAUUUUGAAUGAGCCAAAGAAGACGAAGGGUACAUAUACAUGUAAUUAUUAUUUAUAUAUGUCAAUUAAAAUUCUUAAACAAUGAUUAUUUUAUAACAGAUAAAUACUUUUAUUUUGUAGGUGUAGACUAUGAAAUUGAUAAUGAUCUACUAGCCAUCCUAAGGAAGACAUAUGUUGAUCGAAUUUCUUUACAACUAUUACAAAACACCACUCUCCUUUGACGACAAGUUCUCGAUAUGUAUGCAUCUGUAAAAAAGUGGAGGGUAUUAUUCCUUAAAAAGAAGGCGGAAGCUUUAAGGCAUUAAAUAUUUUGUAACUAUAAUGUCGAC
Molecule: long non-coding RNA, 338 nt
Filed under: Solanum tuberosum (potato)
Lineage: Eukaryota; Viridiplantae; Streptophyta; Magnoliopsida; Solanales; Solanaceae
Description: long non-coding RNA (STUB_LNC009186)
Source: RNAcentral